CGGAAUUGCUAGUAAUCGUAGGUCAGCAUACUACGGUGAAUACGUUCCCGGGCCUUGUACACACCGCCCGUCAAACCAUGAGAGUUGGCAACACCCGAAGUCGGUAGUCUAACCGCAAGGAGGACGCCGCCGAAGGUGGGGUUGAUGAUUAGGGUUAAGUCGUAACAAGGUAUC
This 174-nucleotide ribosomal RNA is filed under the name uncultured bacterium. Its description in RNAcentral is "partial 16S ribosomal RNA". It matches the Rfam family "Bacterial small subunit ribosomal RNA", at positions 1327 to 1500 of the family's 1533-position model. The record is from RNAcentral.